This 429-nucleotide ribosomal RNA is filed under the name Triticum aestivum (bread wheat). RNAcentral's name for it is "partial small subunit ribosomal RNA". Lineage: Eukaryota; Viridiplantae; Streptophyta; Magnoliopsida; Poales; Poaceae. The record is from RNAcentral.
AUGCAGGCAACAAAUGUGGCAAAUGAUGAUUACAUAUAUGAGUCACAAGAAUAUGAAACCCAAUAUGAUGAUGACAGUCUUGAUGUGGACGAUGAGGGCUUUAUUGUCAAGGGAAGAAGUGGAAAUUAUACCACCGCGGAGGAUGUGUUGAUAUGCACCGCUUGGAAGAAAAUCUCUCAAGAUGCAAGCGUUGGAAGCGACCAAACGGUGAGCACCUAUUGGAAACGCAUCAAGGAGUAUUUCGAUGAGCGCAACACAAGUGGUAUCUUCCGUUCGAGCGACUCUCUACGCCAACGUUGGUCCACCAUCAACGCCGAAUGCUCAAAGUGGGUUGGUUGCUUGUCAAACGUUGCUCACAUGAACCCAAGUGGUUGCGAUGAUCGUACCACGGUUCACAACACCGGUGGUGUUGAUGACGCGCAUGAGUAA